GGUGAUAAACCGGAGGAAGGUGGGGAUGACGUCAAGUCAUCAUGGCCCUUACGAGUAGGGCUACACACGUGCUACAAUGGCGUAUACAAAGAGAAGCGACCUCGCGAGAGCAAGCGGAACUCAUAAAGUACGUCGUAGUCCGGAUUGGAGUCUGCAACUCGACUCCAUGAAGUCGGAAUCGCUAGUAAUCGUAGAUCAGAAUGCUACGGUGAAUACGUUCCCGGGCCUUGUACACACCGCCCGUCACACCAUGGGAGUGGGUUGCAAAAGAAGUAGGUAGCUUAACCUUCGGGAGGGCGCUUACCACUUUGUGAUUCAUGACUGGGGUGAAGUCGUAACAAGGUAACCGUAGGGGAACCUGCGGUUGGAUCACCUCCUUA
This 380-nucleotide ribosomal RNA is filed under the name Providencia rettgeri. RNAcentral describes it as "bacterial SSU rRNA". It matches the Rfam family "Bacterial small subunit ribosomal RNA", at positions 1154 to 1533 of the family's 1533-position model. Lineage: Bacteria; Pseudomonadati; Pseudomonadota; Gammaproteobacteria; Enterobacterales; Morganellaceae. The record is from RNAcentral.